AUGUAGAUGUAUUAUAUGAGUGGUGGUCGAUCGAGCUUUGCCAGACAUCCCUGUAUCUGUACUUAUUUGCAAUUUGAAAAAAUCGCCUUUUGCUUUGCUGCUACAAGUCCCUGCUUGGCAAAAAGAAAAACGGGGAGAAGUCAAUACAUUACCCUUAAGUGCCAAGCAGGCUUCAGGACGACAGAGGGAGGAGCAGCCACAGUGCACGGUUUUAGAAUGGCUGUUUCCACCUCAUACCGCUCCAAAAAGUAUUUGCCA
This is a long non-coding RNA of Egretta garzetta (little egret), 258 nucleotides long. RefSeq lists it as uncharacterized. Lineage: Eukaryota; Metazoa; Chordata; Aves; Pelecaniformes; Ardeidae. The transcript has 3 exons. The record is from RefSeq and is a predicted model, not a curated record.